RNAcentral lists this ribosomal RNA (478 nucleotides) under uncultured Planctomycetales bacterium. RNAcentral's name for it is "bacterial SSU rRNA". It matches the Rfam family "Bacterial small subunit ribosomal RNA", at positions 364 to 832 of the family's 1533-position model. Lineage: Bacteria; Pseudomonadati; Planctomycetota; Planctomycetia; Planctomycetales. The record is from RNAcentral.
UUUCGCAAUGCCCGAAAGGGUGACGAAGCGACGCCGCGUGUGGGAAGAAGGCCUUCGGGUUGUAAACCACUGUCGGGAGUUAGGAAAUGCGGGUGCGUUAAUAGCGCACUUGCUUGACUAAGGCUCCAGAGGAAGCCAUGGCUAACUCUGUGCCAGCAGCCGCGGUAAUACAGAGGCGGCAAGCGUUGUUCGGAAUUAUUGGGCGUAAAGAGCACGUAGGCGGCCUUGCAAGUCAGUUGUGAAAGCCUUCCGCUUAACGGAAGAACGGCAUCUGAUACUACAGGGCUUGAGUACGGGAGGGGAGAGUGGAACUUCUGGUGGAGCGGUGAAAUGCGUAGAUAUCAGAAGGAACGCCGGCGGCGAAAGCGACUCUCUGGUCCGAAACUGACGCUGAGUGUGCGAAAGCUAGGGGAGCAAACGGGAUUAGAUACCCCGGUAGUCCUAGCCGUAAACGAUGGGCACUAAGUAGAGGGGUUUU